CGUCAUACUUCUUUGCGUUAGUCAAGGGAACUGCAGAGCGAUUUCACCUAUAUUUCUGUACAGAACGUUUUCGUUCAUUUAGUAUUUUAUCGUUCAUGCGUUCCCGAUUAAACAUAUUUUAUGGCUGUAACAGGACGUUGCAACGGAUACUUUGGGAUGGGCUGUGCAGACCUUAUGUUAUAGCUUGCUCUGUGUGGACAUCACCGCCACCGUGGAAGAAAACGGCAGCUCAUGGCACCAGGCCUACACAAACUCGGGCUCCAGCCCCCUCCCAGCACCACCCGAACACUUGUGCAAGGCCUGCGGAGGCCAGUUUGACACCGUAAGAACAGUAAAUCCGUCUACUCCAAUUCUGCUAUUAAAGGGAUAGUUCACCCCAAAAUGAAAAUUCUGUCAUUAAUUACUCACCCUAAUUACUCAUGUCGUUCCAAACCCGUAAGACCUUUGUUCUUCUUCGGAACACAAAUUAAAAUAUUUUUGAUUAAAUCUAAAAGCUCUCAGACCCUGCAUAGACAGCAACGCAACUGAAAUGUUCCCAGUCCUAGAAACAUAGCAAGGACAUCGGUAAAAUAGGC
This 575-nucleotide long non-coding RNA is filed under the name Sinocyclocheilus anshuiensis. RNAcentral's name for it is "lncRNA (ENSSANG00000042536.1)". Lineage: Eukaryota; Metazoa; Chordata; Actinopteri; Cypriniformes; Cyprinidae. The record is from RNAcentral.